Molecule: long non-coding RNA, 469 nt
Filed under: Equus asinus (donkey)
Lineage: Eukaryota; Metazoa; Chordata; Mammalia; Perissodactyla; Equidae
Description: lncRNA (ENSEASG00005023549.1)
Source: RNAcentral
ACUGGAGUCACCAGGCUGUGAGCACCUCUGCUGCUUCUGGGGUCGCCUGGGUCUCAUGUUCCCCCGCUGGUUCUCUGUGGGCUUAGGUGCUGCUGCCCUGUGCACCACCUGUGCUGCUGCUCCUAGCCACAAGCACUGUGCCUGCAACAGCAGUUGAAUGAAUGGCAAUGAAUGGGGUCCCAGUAUACAAAGAGAGCUGCAGGGCAAGGUCCUGCAGACAGACCCGUGUGGUGGAAACGUAAGCAGUUCAAUUAUCCAGCUAAUCAUCCUGGCUCUGAGUCUAUGUUCACAGGCAAGUUUCAGAUGAAUGUUGGGAGACAGUUCUCCCAGGGUCUCUUGGGUUUCCUUUGUUCUGGACAAUCUUUUCAAGGGUAUUUGUAUAGCGUGCAGGCCUGAAAAGAGAGAGUGUCUCUGGAGCAUAGGGCAGGCAUGCUUAUAGAAGAUUCGGGUUCCCUAAGCUCAGGGUUCC